Molecule: transfer RNA, 77 nt
Filed under: Candidatus Kentrum sp. SD
Lineage: Bacteria; Pseudomonadati; Pseudomonadota; Gammaproteobacteria
Also listed under: 1 other name
Description: Candidatus Kentron sp. SD tRNA_Pro_TGG
Rfam family: tRNA
About the family: Transfer RNA (tRNA) molecules are approximately 80 nucleotides in length.
Source: RNAcentral
CGGGGUAUGGCGCAGCUUGGUAGCGCACCUGCUUUGGGAGCAGGGGGUCGUGGGUUCGAAUCCCCCUACCCCGACCA